CGGGUGCGUAACGCGUAUGCAAUCUACCUUUUACAGAGGGACAGCCCAGAGAAAUUUGGAUUAAUACCUCAUAGUAUAACGACCUGGCAUCAGGAUGUUAUUAUAAAGGUUACGGUACAAGAUGAGUAUGAGUCCUAUUAGUUUGUUGGUAAGGUAACGGCUUACCAAGACUACGAUAGGUAGGGGCCCUGAGAGGGGGAUCCCCCACACUGGUACUGAGACACGGACCAGACUCCUACGGGAGGCAGCAGUGAGGAAUAUUGGACAAUGGGCGAGAGCCUGAUCCAGCCAUGCCGCGUGCAGGAAGACGGCCCUAUGGGUUGUAAACUGCUUUUAUACAGGAAGAAACCCUCCCUCGUGAGGGAGCUUGACGGUACUGUAAGAAUAAGGACCGGCUAACUCCGUGCCAGCAGCCGCGGUAAUACGGAGGGUCCAAGCGUUAUCCGGAAUCAUUGGGUUUAAAGGGUCCGUAGGCGGGAAUCUAAGUCAGUGGUGAAAUCUUGCAGCUCAACUGUAAAAUUGCCAUUGAUACUGGAUUUCUUGAAUUAGUGUGAAGUGAUUAGAAUGUGUAGUGUAGCGGUGAAAUGCAUAGAUAUUACACAGAAUACCAAUUGCGAAGGCAGAUCACUAACACUAUAUUGACGCUGAGGGACGAAAGCGUGGGGAGCGAACAGGAUUAGAUACCCUGGUAGUCCACGCAGUAAACGAUGGAUACUCGCUGUUGGAAAUAUCUUCAGUGGCUAAGCGAAAGUGAUAAGUAUCCCACCUGGGGAGUACGUUCGCAAGAAUGAAACUCAAAGGAAUUGACGGGGGCCCGCACAAGCGUUGGAGCAUGUGGUUUAAUUCGAUGAUACGCGAGGAACCUUACCAGGGCUUAAAUGCAGGUUGCAUGAUUUAGAGAUAGACUUUUCUUCGGACAAUUUACAAGGUGCUGCAUGGUUGUCGUCAGCUCGUGCCGUGAGGUGUCAGGUUAAGUCCUAUAACGAGCGCAACCCCUGUUGUUAGUUGCCAGCGAGUCAUGUCGGGAACUCUAACAAGACUGCCAGUGCAAACUGUGAGGAAGGUGGGGAUGACGUCAAAUCAUCACGGCCCUUACGUCCUGGGCUACACACGUGCUACAAUGGUAGGUACAGAGAGCAGCCACUGGGUGACCAGGAGCGAAUCUAUAUAACCUAUCACAGUUCGGAUCGGAGUCUGCAACUCGACUCCGUGAAGCUGGAAUCGCUAGUAAU
RNAcentral lists this ribosomal RNA (1232 nucleotides) under uncultured prokaryote. RNAcentral describes it as "partial 16S ribosomal RNA". It matches the Rfam family "Bacterial small subunit ribosomal RNA", at positions 103 to 1342 of the family's 1533-position model. The record is from RNAcentral.